GCUGAGUAUUCCACCCGCCUUGCUCUAAUAUAAUAUUUUCUUGCAGGUAUUAUUAUUGUGCACAGUUUUUAGAUGAAGAAAUGAAAUCUUGGAGAAGUUGCUACUGGCACAGGCUCAUUCUAAUGUAAGUGAUCAAGUGGGUCUGAUUUCACUCCAUUUUUCUCCGCAUCCUAAGGCCAGAAUUAGAAGUAACAUGUUCUAUGGAGGAAGACUGAAGCCCAGUGUCAAGAGCACCUUGGAGGAGGCUGCCCUGGGAGGAAAAAACUGCAGAACUGUUAUUCUCCGGAGCAUCUGAAAUCUUGCUUCCCAGCCACUGUCAUCAGGGAGCCACUGGAGGCAAAUACUGGAUUUUCCCACAUUUCAGAACCUCAUGCCCGCCCCCAUCCCAGGGGCAGGCUGUUCCAGUCUUCUCCCACCUGGCUCCCGGGUGCUGGUUGGCUCAAGACUGGCCUCGCCCAGCAGGGAAAUCCAUUCAAACAUCAAUUCUUGUGGUUUUCCCCUCUUGGGCUAUUCCUUUCUCCUUUCUUUUAUUUCAGCAGGUAGCAAAGCUCUGGGUUUCCUGGCUUCAGGGGAGGUUUGCGGCAGGACAGAAAGCAAUUCUCCAUUGCUUUCAGAUUUUCCUUCCCUGCCUUUGUUCCCAAAGCCUGAGGCCAUUGAAAAAGUAUGCUGGGUGUUGUGUAUGUAUGUGUGUGUGUGUGGAGGGGGGGCGGGGCGGAGGAGGGUGCGAGGAGAAGGAGAGGCCUUUGGGAAUGAGGGGUGAAGGGGUGGGGUCAAGCCGUCUGUGGGUUCCAUGAGCAACAGAGAACAGUUUACCUCGAGGGGGCAGGCUGCAGGCUAACCUGGGGAGGCUGGGCUCCCUUGUCCUCAGCUACACCGAACUCCUACCUCCAAGCUUGUUGAGGGGGACCACGUGGGACAGGAUGGACUUAUGCUGCAUUUCU
Long non-coding RNA from Myotis brandtii (Brandt's bat), 941 nucleotides. RefSeq lists it as uncharacterized. The record is from RefSeq and is a predicted model, not a curated record. Lineage: Eukaryota; Metazoa; Chordata; Mammalia; Chiroptera; Vespertilionidae. The transcript has 3 exons.